GAGGGUAUAGCUCAGUGAUAGAGCGUGUGCUUAGCAUGAAGAAUGCCCUGGGUUCAAUUCCCAGCCCCUCA
RNAcentral lists this transfer RNA (71 nucleotides) under Fukomys damarensis (Damara mole-rat). It matches the Rfam family "tRNA". From Rfam's summary of the family: Transfer RNA (tRNA) molecules are approximately 80 nucleotides in length. Lineage: Eukaryota; Metazoa; Chordata; Mammalia; Rodentia; Bathyergidae. The record is from Rfam by way of RNAcentral.